AGCGUUAUCCGGAAUCAUUGGGCGUAAAGCGCCUGUAGGUUGUUUAAUAAGUCUGUUGUUAAAGACUAGGGCCCAACCCCUAGAAAAGCAAUGGAAACUACUAGACUAGAGUAUGGUAGGGGUAGAGGGAAUUUCUAGUGUAGCGGUGAAAUGCGUAGAUAUUAGAAAGAACACCAGUGGCGAAAGCGCUCUACUGGACCAUUACUGACACUCAGAGGCGAAAGCUAGGGUAGCAAAAGGGAUUAGAUACCCCUGUAGUCCUAGCCGUAAACGAUGGAUACUAGAUGUUGUAUAUAAUUUACAGUAUCGUAGCUAACGCGUUAAGUAUCCCGCCUGGGGAGUACGCUCGCAAGGGUGAAACUCAAAGGAAUUGACGGGGGCCCGCACAAGCGGUGGAGCAUGUGGUUUAAUUCGAUGCAACGCGAAGAACCUUACCAGGGCUUGACAUACUACAGAUCCCUUUGAGAAAAGGGAGUGCCUUCGGGAAUGUAGAUACAGGUGGUGCAUGGCUGUCGUCAGCUCGUGUCGUGAGAUGUUGGGUUAAGUCCCGCAACGAGCGCAACCCUUAUUUUUAGUUACUAAUUCGUUAGGUUCUCUAGAAAGACUGCCGGUGACAAACCGGAGGAAGGUGAGGAUGACGUCAAGUCAGCAUGCCCCUUAUGUCCUGGGCUACACACGUGCUACAAUGGUUAAGACAAAGAGUCGCGAGCUCGUGAGAGUCAGCUAAUCUCGUAAACUUUGCCUAAGUU
RNAcentral lists this ribosomal RNA (749 nucleotides) under uncultured eukaryote. Its description in RNAcentral is "bacterial SSU rRNA". It matches the Rfam family "Bacterial small subunit ribosomal RNA", at positions 537 to 1293 of the family's 1533-position model. The record is from RNAcentral.